CUGGUCGAUCAGGGUGGGCGAGAUGAAGUGGACGUGGGCGUCGACCGCCCCGGCCGUGAGCAGUUUUGCGUUGCCCGCGAUGAUCUCGGUCUCCGGGCCGAUCACCAGGUCGGGGUGGACGCCGUCCAUGGUGUCCGGGUUCCCGGCCUUGCCGAUGCCGGUGAUCCGGCCGUCCCGGAUGCCGAUGUCGGCCUUGACGAUGCCCCAGUGGUCGAUGACGACGGCCCCGGUGAUGACGGUGUCCGGUGCGCCUUCGGCCCGGGUGGUGCGGGCCUGGCCCAUGGACUCGCGG
Non-coding RNA from Streptomyces sp. Ncost-T6T-2b, 292 nucleotides. The record is from Rfam. Lineage: Bacteria; Bacillati; Actinomycetota; Actinomycetes; Kitasatosporales; Streptomycetaceae.